This 300-nucleotide ribosomal RNA is filed under the name uncultured Geoglobus sp. Its description in RNAcentral is "bacterial SSU rRNA". The stretch from base 53 to 300 matches the Rfam family "Bacterial small subunit ribosomal RNA", at positions 547 to 795 of the family's 1533-position model. Lineage: Archaea; Methanobacteriati; Methanobacteriota; Archaeoglobi; Archaeoglobales; Archaeoglobaceae. The record is from RNAcentral.
GGGUUAGCACGGGCAAAGAGCCGGGGGAUUACGGAGGUGUAGAAGUUUGGCAGGUAGUAGAGGGAGUAAAGCGCGCGCAGGCGGCUUCUUAAGUCCAUCUUAAAAGUGCGGGGCUUAACCCCGUGAGGGGAUGGAAACUGAGAGGCUGGAGUAUCGGAGAGGAAAGUGGAAGUCCUAGUGUAGCGGUGAAAUGCGUAGAGAUUAGGAAGAACACCGGUGGCGAAGGCGACUUUCUGGACGACAACUGACGCUGAGGCGCGAAAGCGUGGGGAGCAAACAGGAUUAGAUACCCCGGUAGUC